UGUAUCGAUGCGUCACAAUAAACCACGAAGUCAUCCGUGCCCUCUGGCAAUGAGAGAAUAGGUGCGCUGCAAAGCCUAUCCUUUAAGUACUGAAAAGCGGUCUCUUGCGUAUUACCCCAUCUGUAAACGACACCUUUCUGUGUUAGCAUAGUAAGUGGUUGCGCGAUCUUUGAGAAGUCUUUAAUAAAUCGCCUGUAGUAACCCGCCAAACCCAAGAAUUGGCGUAUUUCUGUCGGUGUACGUGGUGCUGGCCAGUUUCUGAUCGAAUCAACCUUGGAUGGAUCGACAUGAAUCCCAUCCUUGUUCACCACAUGGCCUAAGAAGUGGACUUCACGAAGCCGGAAAAGUUCAACCCAUCUCCGUUGACGCAUAUUCAAAUCCUUUUGCUUAAGAAUAUGCUCGAGACUCCUGUGAUCG
Molecule: long non-coding RNA, 417 nt
Filed under: Helianthus annuus (common sunflower)
Lineage: Eukaryota; Viridiplantae; Streptophyta; Magnoliopsida; Asterales; Asteraceae
Description: sRNA HanXRQr2_Chr10g0443211
Source: RNAcentral